This 297-nucleotide long non-coding RNA is filed under the name Mytilus galloprovincialis (Mediterranean mussel). The record is from RNAcentral. Lineage: Eukaryota; Metazoa; Mollusca; Bivalvia; Mytilida; Mytilidae.
AAGAAAACAGCCAAUGGACACCAAUGGUGUCUUCAUCACAGCGAGAAAAUCCUGCACCUGGAGGCAGACUUCAAAACAAAAAUCUGACUAUCCACCAAAACAUACAAAUGAACUAAAAUUAAAAAUAAUACAAGACUAACAAAGUCCACAGGAUCCUGACUAGGGACAGGCACAAAAAUGUGGUGGGGUAAAACAUGUUAUAGUGAGAUCACAGCCCUCCACUCAUACCUCUAGCCAAUGUAGAAAAAACAAACACAGCAAUACUCACAGUAAAACUCAUUUUAAAAGUACACUUAA